GAUCGCAUGAGGGUUUGAAACCCCGGUUUAUCGCAUCGUGACGCUAUGUUAGGGCGUGACUUGCACCCCAUUGCAGAUACGGGCUUGUAAAUGAUUUGGGAUUGUGACGUGGUCCAUCCUGAAAGCUGAACAAAUUAUUGGCGUCUGAUACGCAUAGUGUGGUGUUGAUAAUUGGGCUUAAUGCCAUGUUAGGGGCCUUGCGCCAAUCUGUAGUAACCUUCUAUGGUGAAUAUCUGUGUGAUGACAUAAUUGCAUAAUCAUUGUUCUCAGUCCUGUGUUUAAUCACUGAAAUCAAAUGCUAAGUCACUUUCCCUGAAAUUUAAUAAUUAAAUUAUAUUUGCCUUAAAAAUCGGAAAAAUUGGAAUUUAGAUUGAAUACGUUUAUGUGACUCAUAUGCAUAUUGUGGACUGAGCAUGGGUCGGGCUGCACGAUCCGCAGCGGUACAUGCAUACUAUGGACUGGCUGGUUGGCUCAGGCUGCAUGCUGCAACGGUUAUAUAUUGAAAUUGAGGCCGAGUGCCUGUUCUUAGCCGAUACAUGGGUGAUAUUGCGCUUGGGCUGAAGGAGCCCCUCCGGAGUCUGUACACACCCCAGUGAGCGCCAUCGACGUUAAAUGGAUCGGCUGCACGUUCCGCAUCGAAUUCAUGGGCAUUGCAUUGCAUUUUUAUCUGAUACUUGGUUGUUGUUGUGAUACUGUUAUGAUGUUAGCAUGUAGCUAAGUUAUAGGAUUGUUAGUUAUAGCUUUGCGUUGUGGUCUUUCGUGGAUUUCUUACUUUCAGUCAUUUUCUAUACUUAUUAUCCAUUGAGUCGGUAGUACUCACCCCUACUCCCUGCACCUUGUGUGCAG
Molecule: long non-coding RNA, 846 nt
Filed under: Nicotiana benthamiana
Lineage: Eukaryota; Viridiplantae; Streptophyta; Magnoliopsida; Solanales; Solanaceae
Description: long non-coding RNA (NBEN_LNC003087)
Source: RNAcentral